GUGGCCAUUUGGUUUGACUAGGUUAAUAGACCGAAUUGUUGAAAUUAUUUUUACGAAAAUAUUGAAAUAGAUAUAAAAACUGCUAAUACAUCCGUUUUCUUCAGGAUACUUUUAUAAAAAUAUCGAAAUAGAUAUACAAAACUGAAGUGUAACAACAUAAGAUUUUCUACUCCAUCAAAGAUUUCCUAGUUAAUCUCCACGACCGUCCAAUCUAAGUGGUCUUCCUAUUCCCGUACUUCUGUCCC
This 245-nucleotide long non-coding RNA is filed under the name Elaeis guineensis (African oil palm). Its description in RNAcentral is "long non-coding RNA (EGUI_LNC021713)". The record is from RNAcentral. Lineage: Eukaryota; Viridiplantae; Streptophyta; Magnoliopsida; Arecales; Arecaceae.